RNAcentral lists this ribosomal RNA (731 nucleotides) under uncultured bacterium. RNAcentral's name for it is "bacterial SSU rRNA". It matches the Rfam family "Bacterial small subunit ribosomal RNA", at positions 127 to 899 of the family's 1533-position model. The record is from RNAcentral.
UACCUUUAGGUACGGAACAACAGUUGGAAACGACUGCUAAUACCGUAUGUGCCCUAUGGGGAAAGAUUUAUCGCCUAAGGAUGGGCCCGCGUUGGAUUAGCUAGUUGGUGGGGUAAUGGCCUACCAAGGCGACGAUCUAUAGCUGGUCUGAGAGGAUGAUCAGCCACACUGGAACUGAGACACGGUCCAGACUCCUACGGGAGGCAGCAGUGGGGAAUAUUGGACAAUGGGGGCAACCCUGAUCCAGCCAUGCCGCGUGAGUGAUGAAGGCCCUAGGGUUGUAAAGCUCUUUCAACGGUGAAGAUAAUGACGGUAACCGUAGAAGAAGCCCCGGCUAACUUCGUGCCAGCAGCCGCGGUAAUACGAAGGGGGCUAGCGUUGUUCGGAAUCACUGGGCGUAAAGCGCACGUAGGCGGAUUGAUAAGUUAGGGGUGAAAUCCCGGGGCUCAACCUCGGAACUGCCUUUGAUACUGUCAGUCUUGAGUCCGAGAGGGUGAGUGGAACUCCGAGUGUAGAGGUGAAAUUCGUAGAUAUUCGGAAGAACACCAGUGGCGAAGGGGCUCACUGGCUCGGUACUGACGCUGAGGUGCGAAAGGUGGGGAGCAAACAGGAUUAGAUACCCUGGUAGUCCACGCCGUAAACGAUGGAAGCUAGCCGUCAGUAGCAUGCUAUUUGGUGGCGCAGUAACGCAUUAAGCUUCCCGCCUGGGGAGUACGGUCGCAAGAUUAAAA